UUGAUGCGAUGAUGACUGCAUAGUUCAGCAGAUUAAACCGUGAAGAUUUACUAUUGUCUUUCGCUCCUAGCUGAUGCAUCAA
Molecule: small nucleolar RNA, 82 nt
Organism: Amphilophus citrinellus (Midas cichlid)
Lineage: Eukaryota; Metazoa; Chordata; Actinopteri; Cichliformes; Cichlidae
Source: Ensembl